Gadus morhua (Atlantic cod) is the source of this 718-nucleotide long non-coding RNA. NCBI's taxonomy places the organism in Eukaryota, Metazoa, Chordata, Actinopteri, Gadiformes, Gadidae. The record is from Ensembl.
AAAAAUCAUGCAAAGACUUUUUUCAAAGUUUGCAUGCGUGUGGGAGCACCAGAGACCCAAAACAUCCCAAAUCCCAGGAAAAGUGUUGUUUUCAUAAUAUGUCCCCUUUAAAUGAUUUAAACGUGUUGAAUUUUUCUGGUUUGCAUUGUAAGACUCUGAUGAUCCUUUCUGUGGCAAAUUCUAGAGGAUUGCAAAGGCAAGAAAAGUGCUCUUCCGAAGUUGAACCAGGUGGCCAACAACAGAGGGAGAGGAGAGCAGAGCCAAGGACGACAGAGCAGUCAGUCAGGCGAGCUCAAAAAGAUCCGUUUAGGAUUUGUGGAGAGAGUUUCAAUCUCACUUAUCAAAAGUCUCCUGGAUGAACUUUUGCAGAAGAAAAUGUUCACUACCGACGAUAAGGACUCUGUGAUUCAGGAUCAGACAAACAAAAAAGACCAGGCACGUUGUCUGAUCGACAUGGUGAUGGCAAAAGGAGAGAGAACAAGUCAGGUGAUGAUGGAUUGUAUGAAGGAGAGGGACCCUGAAUUAUGCAUCACCCUGGGUCUGAGCUCUACUCCUGCUGCUGGUGUAGCUGAGAUACUGCAGACGCAGUUUUGAGAAGAAGUAUUUGUCUCACACACACACACACACACACACACACACACACACACACACACACACACACACACACACACACACACACACACACACACACACACACACACACACACACACACACACA